AAAGUUAAGGGAGGCUCGGGGGCUACGACCCUUCGACAUAUCUGUGAGUGGCCAGUAUUUUUCUGUAUUUACCUAUAUGCUAUCUAUUUUUCCUAGAAAUCGAAAUUAAAUGAAAUUAUAUUUCUAAAAUGCCAUGCAUGCAUAUUAUGAGUUACGAAUUGAUAAUUGAUACAUAUAUAUAUGUGUGAAUUGGUGUCGUGGACGCACAGGUGAGUAUCAGGUGAGUUUAUAUGGUUUAUAUGAAUGAAUGAUGAUGUGAUUGCGUUGUGAGCUCAUAAACUGCACCUUUGGUAUUAGUGCUUAUAGUAUUCACCACACCGCACGCUCGCCUUGGAUCCAAGUAGGUGGAUGUCGUACAGACCACUAAAGGUGGUUCCGACAUGCCAGUCGUACAGACCAUUAGAGGGGUUCCGACUGGUGGGUGACUUUAGAUUAUGUGCACAAAUGAUUGAUGAGAGAAGCACUAGAGCGUAUUAUUUCACCAUCUUAGUCGUACAGACUACUUUAGGUAGUUCCGACUUAUGUGCAGUGUAGCGCCGUACAGGUCACAGUUGGUGACUCCGGCAGGGCCGUACAGGUCACAGUUGGUGACUCCGGCUAGAUGAGAUUUUGAGCUAUAGUUUCAGCCGUACAGGACCAUUGUAGGGUCUCCAGUUGAUUUAUUUUUCACCUGAUUUAUAUUGAUGCAUUCAUAUUAUAGUUUGGCAUGGCAUGGCAUAUUUUUCCGAAAAGUGUUAAAGAAAUGAGUUUUGAGAUUUAUGAAAGUAUAUUUGUACAUAUGCUAUUUUUCUGGGAAAGUACAGGUUUUACGGAGAGGGGUUACAACGUUUUGAGAAAUGUUUUGUCUUAAAAAGAUUGGUUUUACUGACCCACUCAACUUUGUUUUUCGCCCCUCCAGGUUCGACAUAGAGCAGAGCUUUGGUGGCCACGAGGAAUUCAACGGUGUUCUGACAGAAUUUCACAAACGUAGGUUUCACUUUCGGGUAUUAUACCUUAGUAUUUAUGUCUUUAAAGCUUCCGAACCGUGUAAAUGGUUACGUCACUCUCACGUGACGGCCAUCAUACCCUCAUUCGGGACGGGAUGUGACAUUUAAUGUAUUAAUUUUAUUCAUUAUAAUUAUAAUUUUCAUUUCAUUCAUCAUAAUAUAUUUUGUUGUAAACAUUUAGAUAAAUUAAUUUUUAUUUUACAAUAUAUUUCGAUAUAUUUUGUCUUCUUCAUUUAAGUACAUUAAAUUCAUUAUAAUACAUUUUGGUGCAUACAUUUAGGUACACACAUUUUAGUACAUACAUUUCGAUACAAACAUUUAGGUACAUUAAUUCAAUAUAAUACAUUUUGGUAUACACAUUCAGGUACAGUAGUUUAAUAUAAUACAUUUCGGUGCAUACAUUUGGGUACAUACAUUUAUGUACUAACAUUUAAAUUCAUUAAUUCAAUAUAAUACAUUUCGGUACUAAUAUUUUGGUACAUACAUUUCGGUACUAACAUUUAAGUACAUUAAUUGAGUUUUCAAGAUUGAAGAAUGUUAAAUAAAAUUAAUAAAUUAAAAAAACUUUUGUUUGGUCAAAAAAUAUAUUAAAAUGUGUAUAUUAAUAAUUUAAAUAUUUAAUGGGAGACUUUGAAUAAAAUACACAUUAAUUAUUUUGAAUUAAGGACAUAUCAAGAUAUUAUAAUCAAUAUGUAAUCUAAAAUCAGGUUUAUUUUAAAUUUCAAUCUUCUUCAAAGAUUAAGGGUAGAAAACCCAAAAGUUAUCUAGUAUCUAAAUCCGCCGUUGUCUAAGCCCGGAUUCUUCUUAAAUUUAGGUAUAUCCGCGGGUGUCUGAAACCUAAUUUUUCUUGAAUUUUCAUGGGCGAAUAUAUAGCAAGACGGAGAUGAGGAAAGGGCGAGAGAGGUGAUGACCUCGUGACAAACCGACCAAUUUCAGCUAAGUUGUCGGGUACGUAAAGAGCUGCAUGCAACCGACACCAAUCUUUCUCGGUCACCAUCCGAUCGUAACUGAACUACUCUCUCUCUCUCUCUCUCU
This 2021-nucleotide long non-coding RNA is filed under the name Malus domestica (apple). Its description in RNAcentral is "long non-coding RNA (MDOM_LNC007463)". The record is from RNAcentral. Lineage: Eukaryota; Viridiplantae; Streptophyta; Magnoliopsida; Rosales; Rosaceae.